This 500-nucleotide ribosomal RNA is filed under the name uncultured bacterium. RNAcentral describes it as "partial 16S ribosomal RNA". It matches the Rfam family "Bacterial small subunit ribosomal RNA", at positions 30 to 523 of the family's 1533-position model. The record is from RNAcentral.
AUUGAACGCUGGCGGAAUGCUUUACACAUGCAAGUCGAACGGCAGCACGGACUUCGGUCUGGUGGCGAGUGGCGAACGGGUGAGUAAUGUAUCGGAACGUGCCCAGUCGUGGGGGAUAACGUAGUGAAAAUUACGCUAAUACCGCAUACGAUCUAUGGAUGAAAGCGGGGGAUCGCAAGACCUCGCGCGAUUGGAGGGGCCGAUAUCAGAUUAGGUAGUUGGUGGGGUAAAGGCCCACCAAACCAACGAUCUGUAGCUGGUCUGAGAGGACGACCAGCCACACUGGAACUGAGACACGGUCCAGACUCCUACGGGAGGCAGCAGUGGGGAAUUUUGGACAAUGGGCGAAAGCCUGAUCCAGCCAUUCCGCGUGCAGGAUGAAGGCCCUCGGGUUGUAAACUGCUUUUGUACAGAACGAAAAGGUUUCUACUAAUACUAGGAGCUCAUGACGGUACUGUAAGAAUAAGCACCGGCUAACUACGUGCCAGCAGCCGCGGUAA